RNAcentral lists this ribosomal RNA (424 nucleotides) under uncultured bacterium. RNAcentral's name for it is "bacterial SSU rRNA". It matches the Rfam family "Bacterial small subunit ribosomal RNA", at positions 207 to 622 of the family's 1533-position model. The record is from RNAcentral.
AAGACCUUGCGCUUUUGGAGCGGCCGAUGCCUGAUUAGCUUGUUGGUAAGGUAAAAGCUUACCAAGGCUUCGAUCAGUAGCUGGUCUGAGAGGACGGCCAGCCACACUGGGACUGAGACACGGCCCAGACUCCUACGGGAGGCAGCAGUGGGGAAUUUUGGACAAUGGGGGCAACCCUGAUCCAGCCAUGCCGCGUGAGUGAAGAAGGCCUUCGGGUUGUAAAGCUCUUUCAGCCGGAACGAAACGGUUACGGUUAAUACCCGUGACUACUGACGGUACCGGAAGAAGAAGCACCGGCUAACUACGUGCCAGCAGCCGCGGUAAUACGUAGGGUGCAAGCGUUAAUCGGAAUUACUGGGCGUAAAGCGUGCGCAGGUGGUUUUGUAAGUCAGAUGUGAAAUACCCCGGGCUUAACCUGGGAACU